GAUGAACGCUGGCGGCGUGCCUAAUACAUGCAAGUCGAGCGAACGGACGAGAAGCUUGCUUCUCUGAUGUUAGCGGCGGACGGGUGAGUCACACGUGGAUAACCUACCUAUAAGACUGGGAUAACUUCGGGAAACCGGAGCUAAUACCGGAUGAUAUUUUGAACCGCAUGGUUCAAAAGUGAAAGACGGUCUUGCUGUCACUUAUAGAUGGAUCCGCGCUGCAUUAGCUAGUUGGUAAGGUAACGGCUUACCAAGGCAACGAUGCAUAGCCGACCUGAGAGGGUGAUCGGCCACACUGGAACUGAGACACGGUCCAGACGCCUACGGGAGGCAGCAGUAGGGAAUCUUCCGCAAGGGGCGAAAGCCUGACGGAGCAACGCCGCGUGAGUGAUGAAGGUCUUCGGAUCGUAAAACUCUGUUAUUAGGGAAGAACAUAUGUGUAAGUAACUGUGCACAUCUUGACGGUACCUAAUCAGAAAGCCACGGCUAACCACGUG
RNAcentral lists this ribosomal RNA (497 nucleotides) under uncultured bacterium. RNAcentral describes it as "partial 16S ribosomal RNA". It matches the Rfam family "Bacterial small subunit ribosomal RNA", at positions 28 to 507 of the family's 1533-position model. The record is from RNAcentral.